AUCCGGCUGACAGGUCUCGAACUGGACGAAACGCGUGUCCUGGAU
Molecule: non-coding RNA, 45 nt
Filed under: Schistosoma mattheei
Lineage: Eukaryota; Metazoa; Platyhelminthes; Trematoda; Strigeidida; Schistosomatidae
Source: RNAcentral